Molecule: non-coding RNA, 371 nt
Organism: Paramuricea clavata
Lineage: Eukaryota; Metazoa; Cnidaria; Anthozoa; Malacalcyonacea; Plexauridae
Source: the annotation of a GenBank genome assembly
AAAACGACAAGAAAGUCAGCUUGGAAAUUUCAUUGAAGGCGAAGAGCUUGGCACUGAGACAAGCCCUCGUUGCGGCAGUUGUCGAUGUGGUAAAUGUCCUAUCCUUGGACAUACGUACUCGUUCAAAGAAGAGCAAGAACUUAAAAUUAUUCGUGAGAAUCUAGAGUAUGAUGAUUCCAACCAGUGUUGGAUAACAGGGGUUUCAGAAUAAGCCGGCGGCCGGCGGAGUUCCGCCGGCUACUUGAACUUUUACCGCCGGCUACUUUUCGUCUGGUCACAGGAAAAAAAUUAUAUACAAAGGUACAAGCGAACCAACACGAUGUUUGCUAUGUUCCAAUUGGAAUUCAAGCAAAACAUCACUUAUUUUGGAA